This 309-nucleotide unclassified non-coding RNA is filed under the name Basidiomycota sp. RNAcentral's name for it is "partial contains small subunit ribosomal RNA, internal transcribed spacer 1, and 5.8S ribosomal RNA". The stretch from base 1 to 47 matches the Rfam family "Eukaryotic small subunit ribosomal RNA", at positions 1785 to 1831 of the family's 1831-position model. The record is from RNAcentral. Lineage: Eukaryota; Fungi; Basidiomycota.
AAAGUCGUAACAAGGUUUCCGUAGGUGAACCUGCGGAAGGAUCAUUAUUGAAUAAACUUGGUCAAGCUGUUGCUGGUCCUUCGGGGCAUGUGCACGCUUGCCACCAAUUUUAACCACCUGUGCACCUUUUGUAGAUUGGAAACGAUUCUCGAGGCAACUCGGAUUGAGGACUGCUGUGCGCAAGCCAGCUGUUCUUGUGUUUCUCAAUCUAUGUUUUUAUAUACUCCUAAUGUAUGUAUCAGAAUGUAUUGUUAGGCCUCUGUGCCUUUAAAUCAAAUACAACUUUCAACAACGGAUCUCUUGGCUCUC